This 700-nucleotide ribosomal RNA is filed under the name uncultured Pantoea sp. RNAcentral describes it as "bacterial SSU rRNA". It matches the Rfam family "Bacterial small subunit ribosomal RNA", at positions 28 to 719 of the family's 1533-position model. The record is from RNAcentral. Lineage: Bacteria; Pseudomonadati; Pseudomonadota; Gammaproteobacteria; Enterobacterales; Erwiniaceae.
GAUGAACGCUGGCGGCAUGCCUAAUACAUGCAAGUCGAACGGUAGCACAGAGAGCUUGCUCUCGGGUGACGAGUGGCGGACGGGUGAGUAAUGUCUGGGAAACUGCCUGAUGGAGGGGGAUAACUACUGGAAACGGUAGCUAAUACCGCAUAACGUCGCAAGACCAAAGAGGGGGACCUUCGGGCCUCUUGCCAUCAGAUGUGCCCAGAUGGGAUUAGCUAGUAGGUGGGGUAACGGCUCACCUAGGCGACGAUCCCUAGCUGGUCUGAGAGGAUGACCAGCCACACUGGAACUGAGACACGGUCCAGACUCCUACGGGAGGCAGCAGUGGGGAAUAUUGCACAAUGGGCGCAAGCCUGAUGCAGCCAUGCCGCGUGUAUGAAGAAGGCCUUCGGGUUGUAAAGUACUUUCGGCGGGGAGGAAGGUGUUGUGGUUAAUAACCGCAGCAAUUGACGUUACCCGCAGAAGAAGCACCGGCUAACUCCGUGCCAGCAGCCGCGGUAAUACGGAGGGUGCAAGCGUUAAUCGGAAUUACUGGGCGUAAAGCGCACGCAGGCGGUCUGUCAAGUCGGAUGUGAAAUCCCCGGGCUCAACCUGGGAACUGCAUUCGAAACUGGCAGGCUAGAGUCUUGUAGAGGGGGGUAGAAUUCCAGGUGUAGCGGUGAAAUGCGUAGAGAUCUGGAGGAAUACCGGUGGCGAA